Molecule: ribosomal RNA, 275 nt
Filed under: uncultured bacterium
Lineage: Bacteria
Description: partial 16S ribosomal RNA
Rfam family: Bacterial small subunit ribosomal RNA
Source: RNAcentral
GCGUGAAUGAUGAAGGCCUUCGGGUUGUAAAAUUCUUUUAGUGGGGAAGAUAAUGACGGUACCCACAGAAUAAGCUCCGGCUAACUUCGUGCCAGCAGCCGCGGUAAUACGAAGGGAGCUAGCGUUGUUCGGAAUUACUGGGCGUAAAGGGCGCGUAGGCGGUUCGACAAGUCAGGUGUGAAAUCCCCGGGCUCAACCCGGGAACUGCGCUUGAUACUGUCGUGCUUGAAUUCGGUAGAGGUGAGUGGAAUUCCCAGUGUAGAGGUGAAAUUCGU